This 436-nucleotide ribosomal RNA is filed under the name uncultured bacterium. Its description in RNAcentral is "bacterial SSU rRNA". It matches the Rfam family "Bacterial small subunit ribosomal RNA", at positions 26 to 507 of the family's 1533-position model. The record is from RNAcentral.
AAGAACGAACGCUGGCGGCAUGCCUAACACAUGCAAGUCGAACGAGACCUUCGGGUCUAGUGGCGCACGGGUGCGUAACACGUGGGAAUUUGCCUCGGGGUAUGGAAUAACUCAGGGAAACUUGAGCUAAUACCAUAUAAUGUCUUCGGACCAAAGAUUUAUCGCCUUUAGAUGGGCCCGCGUUGGAUUAGCUAGUUGGUGGGGUAAAGGCCUACCAAGGCGACGAUCCAUAGCUGGUCUGAGAGGAUGAUCAGCCACACUGGGACUGAGACACGGCCCAGACUCCUACGGGAAGCAGCAGUGGGGAAUAUUGGACAAUGGGCGAAAGCCUGAUCCAGCAAUGCCGCGUGAGUGAUGAAGGCCUUAGGGUUGUAAAGCUCUUUUACCCGGGAUGAUAAUGACAGUACCGGGAGAAUAAGCUCCGGCUAACUCCGUG